GACGAACCGUGCGAACGUUGUUCGGAAUCACUGGGCUUAAAGGGCGCGUAGGCGGGCUCACAAGUCAGGGGUGAAAUCCCACGGCUCAACCGUGGAAGUGCCUUUGAUACUGUGGGCCUCGAGGGAGGUAGGGGCGUGCGGAACUUCCGGUGGAGCGGUGAAAUGCGUAGAUAUCGGAAGGAACACCGGUGGCGAAAGCGGCGCGCUGGACCUCAUCUGACGCUGAUGCACGAAAGCUAGGGUAGCGAACGGG
RNAcentral lists this ribosomal RNA (253 nucleotides) under uncultured bacterium. RNAcentral describes it as "partial 16S ribosomal RNA". It matches the Rfam family "Bacterial small subunit ribosomal RNA", at positions 524 to 776 of the family's 1533-position model. The record is from RNAcentral.